UACGGAGGGUGCGAACGUUAAUCGGAAUCACUGGGCGUAAAGCGCGCGUAGGCGGUCUGUUAAGUGGGAUGUGAAAUCCCCGGGCUUAACCUGGGAAUUGCAUUUCAAACUGGCCGACUAGAGUACGGUAGAGGGAGGUAGAAUUUCCUGUGUAGCGGUGAAAUGCGCAGAUAUCAGGAAGAACACCCGUGGCGAAGGCGGCUCUCUGGGACGGUACUGACGCUGAGACGCGAAAGCGUGGGGAGCGAACAGG
RNAcentral lists this ribosomal RNA (253 nucleotides) under uncultured bacterium. Its description in RNAcentral is "partial 16S ribosomal RNA". It matches the Rfam family "Bacterial small subunit ribosomal RNA", at positions 524 to 776 of the family's 1533-position model. The record is from RNAcentral.